UCAAACUUCAGGCCGAGGUAACAAUAGCCGCGACAAAGUGCAAAACCAUUACGUUCUCGAAAAAUUUCCACACGAACAUGUCACCGCUUGAAAGUGACGUGAAAGGAACUAAACACUGCAUGAGAAUAAAACGGAAGAAAGGUCGUGAUCCACGCAAACACGAGGAGAGUAUUCUACGUUACAGCUUAAAAGUGAGAUGGUCUCUUCAUCCUUGGAAAGUUCGCAUUAGCAGACAGUGAAAAUGAAAAUGUGUGCAUCCUGCGCUGCGUUCGUGUUAAUGAUUCAGUUUGUCUGGAUAUUCGUGGAGGCAGUGAGGCUAAGAGCACCUAUUUCAAACCCACCUGUACGCAAAUUGGAUACUCGGUCAAAUGCAGGCGUUCGCGCCCAAGACGACAACAGAGCGCGACUGGAGGAGCACUCCGGAAAUUGAGGUCUUCCGUCUUUGAUUCGGGCUAAGCCUAGGCAUUACGUCUGAUAUCAAUAUGGGUUCGUCCGGGCAGACUGACGGCGUAAGAUGUUGCACGUCUAUCCGCAGAACGUGUUCUCGAGGACUUCCCAGGCCUCGAUUUCCCGUCCCGCAUCGAUUUUCCCGCGGAAACCCGCCUUAACCUGGCCCUGCUCCUGCUCCUUAAAACCGGCUUAACCUCUUUAAUCCCGGAGUCGUGGCCGACGAUAAAUAUUCGCGUGGAGAGGCUCUUCCAUUGUUGCCCUCUGAGGAGUCGACUUCGAGGAGUAUCCCAUUGGACCAUGGUCCAAAAUUUUGAGCAACUUUGCAGGUCCUGCGGACCGAUUUUGAAAUCGAUAGACAAACUAAAAAGAUAAAGAAGACUUUGAGAAUAUGGAGCAAUCCUAAUGCUUGAAAUGGACGCCUCCUAUCAUUGAAAAAAAAAAAAAAGAAUCUUAAAUUUGCCGCUAAGAAGUAUUUUUCCACGCCACUGAGGUGGAAACAUGGCACUUUCCGAAACAAAAUGGUCGUAUAGAUAAUCCAUGAAUUCGUCUAACUUGUCGCUAGCCGGCUGAUCUGACUUAAAUGCAGCAAACAUAUCACCAACCUCAUAAAGGCGCAGAAAAGGUAGACCGAAAACAACAUUCCAAGUCAUAAUUGCUGCGACAUUGUGAAUUUGUCUCCUUUUUCUCUCAGCCGGGAGGGAAUCGGGCGAUCCCCGCAUCUAAUCGAGUUACCCGGAUUAUCCCUGCCGAAUACAACGACUUAAGGGAUGAUCCCCCGUCCGCAAAUAGUGACACGGGGAACGGUGGGGCAACUUACUGAAUGACCAGGGGUUGAACAAAAGGAGGGGUCCGAGGACAAACAAGAGCGGUUGAUUGCGCGCGGACGCGCCGAGUUCGUUGGGAGGGGUUUAGGGCGGUUUACAAGAGGCCGCAUUGUACAUGCAAACAACUUAAUUACUUUCAACAGUUUCAGUCCUUCGCAUAAAUAGUCGUUUCAGACGACGGCAGGGCACGGGGGCCUCGCCAUGCUAGGCUAUACGCCUCAGUUUCGAUGAGCUGAAAACAACCCCCCCCCCCCC
RNAcentral lists this long non-coding RNA (1529 nucleotides) under Bemisia tabaci. RNAcentral describes it as "lncRNA ENSSSA2NGG009815". The record is from RNAcentral. Lineage: Eukaryota; Metazoa; Arthropoda; Insecta; Hemiptera; Aleyrodidae.